UACAGAGGUCCCAAGCGUUGUUCGGAUUCACUGGGCGUAAAGGGUGCGUAGGCGGUCAUUUAAGUCUGACGUGAAAUCUCCGGGCCUAACCCGGAAACUGCGUUGGAAACUAUCUGACUAGAGGAAUGGAGGGGAGACUGGAAUACUUGGUGUAGCAGUGAAAUGCGUAGAUAUUCGGCGGAACACCAGUGGCGAAGGCGACUCACUGGCCCGAUACUGACGCUGAGGCGCGAAAGCGUGGGGAGCAAACAGG
RNAcentral lists this ribosomal RNA (253 nucleotides) under uncultured bacterium. RNAcentral describes it as "partial 16S ribosomal RNA". It matches the Rfam family "Bacterial small subunit ribosomal RNA", at positions 524 to 776 of the family's 1533-position model. The record is from RNAcentral.